UGAAGAAGUAGCGGAUGAAUCGACACGUGCUUUGUUGUGCUUGUCUCCACAUGCUUCAAUGUAUCAUUUCCCUUGCCUUAUCUAUUCUUCUGGCAGAAUGUGGCAUAUGCUCGAGUUCCUCAGUUCGGACUCCUUCUGCUGAGUUGACUGUGCAUGCUGCAUUCUUCUCUGCUUGUUUCUUCAGGCAGAUGUGGCAGCUUCUCGAGUUCUUCAGCUCAGACUCAUUCUGCUGAGUUGACUGUGCAGACCGCAUUCUUCUCUGCUUGUUCCUUCUGCACGUUGUCUCCACAUGCUGCAAGGUAUCAUUUUCACUUGCCUUAUCUGUUCUCCAGGUAGAUGUGACAACUUCUUUGGAAGUACAGCAGCAGUGGGAGACGAGUACUCGAGAGCAGUGCUAGGUAGGCAAUCAGGGAAGGGUUCCAAGCAGUCGGUUCCUUACCCGAGUUUGAGUGGAGGUUUCGGCAUAUUGCUUUCUUUAUCCUUGUCUUUGCAGGUAAGAACAAGGACAAAGGAAAAGAUAGGGAGAAUGCAUGAUAUGAGAUACUCUUGCUUUCUACCCUGGUGAUAUGAGAUACUUUUGCUUUGGAGUCAUUGGCUUGCA
RNAcentral lists this long non-coding RNA (601 nucleotides) under Malus domestica (apple). RNAcentral describes it as "long non-coding RNA (MDOM_LNC002205)". Lineage: Eukaryota; Viridiplantae; Streptophyta; Magnoliopsida; Rosales; Rosaceae. The record is from RNAcentral.